Malania oleifera is the source of this 1328-nucleotide long non-coding RNA. RefSeq lists it as uncharacterized. Lineage: Eukaryota; Viridiplantae; Streptophyta; Magnoliopsida; Santalales; Ximeniaceae. The record is from RefSeq and is a predicted model, not a curated record. The transcript is spliced from 2 exons.
CCCACUGCCUCUGCCUUUGCCUCAUCCACUCCGUUCGCUCCACCACUCCCAUUCCUUCUCCCGCAGCAGUCUCCUCCAUUACGCCGCCACUCAUCUCUGUCGUUCCAUGGCCAUAACCACCAACAACAAUUCCGCCUCCUCCCCCGUAGCCGCCGGCGAGCCUAUUUCCCCAGCCACCACGCGUCUGGGCUGGAUCGGUACAGGCGUCAUGGGCCGGUCUUGUGGAAAUGGGAAGCUGAAUCCUGCGCUUUAGCUGGUACUGGUACACCAGGCCUCUUGCAAUUGCAGGGUGCCAUACAAGAAUUUGCGAGCUUUGGACUCAAUCGCGUAAACCCCAAAUUGAGAGGACUCUGCCAGGCGAGGCGAUUCAGGAUUCAUGGCGGGUGACUCAGUCUCAUCCCCCUCUCCUAGCAAAGUCCUCGAACCCCAAACCCUAGCCCUACCCUGGUCUUCCACGCCUUUCUUCAAAGGCAAAGACAAGUUCCAAGAACCCAAAGAUCAUCCUGUAGAAGAAGAAGAAAAAGAGGAAGAACGUGGGGAGGAAUUGAUGGAUUCAGAUCCGAAUCCACAGCUGUGACCACUACUUCUGCUUCGUCUGCAUCAUGGAGUGGGCCAAGGUUGAGUCUCGCUGCUCCAUGUGCAAGCGGCGCUUCUCCUCCAUUCGCAGGCCGCCCAAGGAGGGGGUGUUUGCUUGUGAACGGAUUGUCAAUGUUCCUGUUCGUGAUCAGCUGGUACAGGAUGCCUCUUUCAAUUGAAGGAUGCCAUACAAGAAUUUGCGAGCUUUGGACUCAAUUGCGCAAACCCCAAAUUCAGAGGACUCUUGUCAGGCGAGGCGAUUCAAGAUUCAUGGUGGGUGACUCAGACUCAUCUCCCUCUCCUAGCAAACUCUUCAAACCCCAAACCCUAGCCCUACCCUCGUCUUCGACGCCUUUCUCCAAAGGCAAAGACAAGUUCUAAGAAUCCAAAGACGAUCCUGUAGAAGAAGAAGAAGAAGAAGAAGACGAAGAGGAAGAACGUGGGGAAGAAUUGAUGGAUUCAGACCCGAACCAAUGUGGGGUAUGUUUAGCGGAAGAAGGGAAGACCAUUAGAGGGUGGAUCAACAGCUGUGAGUCUGUGACCACUACUUAUGCAUCGUCUGCAUCAUGGAGUGGGCCGAGGUUGAGUCUCGCUGCCCCAUGUGCAAGCGGCGCUUCUCCUCCAUUCGCAGGCCGCCCAAGGAGGGGGUGUUUGCUUGUGAACGGAUUGUCGAUGUUCCUGUUUGUGAUCAGGUGAGGAAUAUGUGGCUCUUAUUUAGAUUUUUUUUGGUAAUUUACUGUGAUUCGUUGGUU